Non-coding RNA from Pangasianodon gigas (Mekong giant catfish), 72 nucleotides. The record is from the annotation of a GenBank genome assembly. Lineage: Eukaryota; Metazoa; Chordata; Actinopteri; Siluriformes; Pangasiidae.
CCUGCACACAUAUAUAUGCUUUUGUUAGAAAAACUUGCUUCUCAACCUCGUAAUACCUAGAAACAGUCUCAA